AUUCCCCAUCUGUUUCCUUCCUUCCCUCCCUUUUUGGCGUCACAAUCGGAUCACAUCCUUCAAUUUUUCCAUCCAAGCAAAAUGAUCAAACAAAUUCUUAAACCGAUUCAUUUUAAGCUCCAAAUACAUACGUUUGCUGCUUUUUUUGAUUUUGUGUCGCCAAGACGGGAUUCCUUAGCUGUAUUGGUACAUGCCAUGAUUUUUGCCCUUAAUUACUGGUUCCGAGGUUGAGUCUCAAAGACGCAGCCAUGGGAGAAUAGUUCUCAAGAAGGCAUUUGCAAGCGGAUUUUUGGAAAUUUUUAAUUGAAGCAGGUUUUUCUCGGACGUAUCGGAUGAGGCCGGUGCAUGUGAGACAGAAGAGCUCCGGGGGCAAUCCGGCGACUCCAUCAUCGCCGAUGAUGUCGCCCUUGCGUGGCCACAUGCGCUCCGGAUCGACCGGUGUUGGCAACAUGAGAAAAGCGCAGACCAAGGCUGCUGCGCAGAGGCUGGCGCAGGUGAUGUCGCAUCAGGCACCAGAUGAGGGUGACGAGGAUGACGACCUUUUGUUAAACUACACCUCCAGUGCGCCAGGAGGAAUGGGGCUUGCGGGAGGAAGGCCAGUGCGGUCACGCUCUCCUAUGACCAAACCUACAGCACAAAGGCCAGUGAAGGUAAUGGGACACCAGCAGCCUGAUGAGGAGAAUGAUAAGAAUGACAGACCAGCAAGUGGCAGAGGGAGCAUUAGUCAUGUUAGUGGCAGCAUGAUGCAGUCACGCUCAACCAUGACCAAACCUGCUGUUGCUCAUAGACAUGCACAAGUGAUGACACACCAAUGGGCAGAUGAAGAUGAUGAUGAAGAUGGCAUCUCUCUUGAUUAUAGUUUGGUGAGUGGCCUAGGUAGCAUUGGGCGUGCAAGAGGAAGGGCGGUGCAAUCACGUUCUCCUAUGAUGAAAAAUGCUAAUCAGACGCCUGUAAAAUUGAUGGCACAACAACGUGGUGACGAGGAAAGUGAUGAGAGCAAUAUUUCUCAUUAUAAUAGCUUGGGAAUUGCAUCAGUGAGUGUUGGACGUCCUGGUGGAAGGGCCAUGCAGUCAUACUCUUCUAUGUCUAAAGGUGCUUCUCAGAGGCCUGCACAAGCAAACCAACUGGAGGGUGAGGAUGAGGUUGAGGACAAGCUUCUGGACGACUAUAGCUUACCAGGUGGCAUGGCAAGUGCUGGGUACAACAGUGAAGCGUCUAUGCGGUCACAACCUUCUAUGUCAGUUCGUACCCAGCAAGAACAAGCCCUGCCCACACAGUCAGCAUCUGGUGCUCGAUCAUCUCUCUACAUAAACUCUGUGGAACAACCAUCAUCAGCUCUUUCAGCGUCAGCUAAUCGAACGAAUCAAACGAUCAACUCUGCAGAGCAACCUCUAUCUGCUCGUUCUAUAAUGGCUGGUCGAUCAUCUCAUCCCAAUAAUUCAAUUGAGCAACCUCCAUCCGCUCGAUCUUCAUCAGGCAGUCGUACGUGUACAGGUGUGAAGACAGUUCCCAUUGUACCUUCUAGUGUACCUAUAACCCUGAGGCCAACCACUUCUGGAAUCCCAUCGGAGUCAUCUGCUGAUAACCGGAGAGAUAAAAGGUUGUCAAUCGAUUUUGGGAGUAUGGCCAACUCAAGAGAAGCUGGGAACCACCAUUCUACUUCUGCUCUCCAAGAUGAGCUUGACAUGAUUCAGGAAGAAAAUGAAAAUUUACUUGAAAAGCUUCGACUUGCAGAGGAGAGGUUUGAGGAAUCAGAGGCAAGAGCUCAGCAGCUUGAGAAACAGAUUUCCACUCUUGGGGAAGGUGUAACUUUGGAGGCCCGUCUCCUUAGCAGGAAGGAGGCAGUGCUGCAGCAACGGGAGGCAGCUUUGAGGGUUGCGGCACAAACUCAUGGUGGUAAUCCGGGAGAGAUUGAUUCCCUUCGGACAGAAGCUGAGAUUGCUAGGGAAGAGGCAACCUCUGCUUUGGACCAGCUUCAUGAAGCUGAGGGUGAAGUUAAGUCACUGCGAACCAUGACACAGAGAUUGAUAUUGACUCAAGAAGAGAUGGAAGAAGUUGUUCUAAAAAGGUGUUGGCUUGCUCGCUAUUGGAGCUUAUGUGUUCGACAUGGUAUUCUUUCAGAGAUUGCUGGAGCAAGAUUUGAGUAUUGGUCAUCACUUGCACCUCUUCCUCUUGAAGUUGUACUGGCUGCUGGACAGAAAGCCAAAGAUGAGACCUCAUCUCUGAAUAAUAAUGAAGAGGAAAGAGAGAAAUGUAUACGAGACUUGACCGAACUUUCUACGGAUGGAAACGUUGAGAGCAUGGUUUUAGUUGAGAGAGGUUUACGUGAACUGGCUUCAUUAAAGGUAGAGGAUGCACUAGUCCUUGCCAUGGCACAAAAUCGCCGUCCAAGUUCUCUGAAAUCUACUUCCUCAGAUGAAGUGAAACUACCAACCGAGGGGCAAUAUGAAGCAUUUGAAUUGAGCCAAGAUGAGUCAGAAGAUGUGUGUUUUAAACAGAUCUGGACAGCAAGCAGAUACAUUCUGAAAUGGCCUCUUAGUCUUUUUGCAAAACUGUGGCGGCUUGGCUUAUGUAUUUCUGGAGAAGAGCAAAAAACCAUGGGGUGGAAUUGGAUGUAGCAGAAGAGCGUUUGCAAUUCUGGAUCAACCACAGUUCUCGAUCUUCCACCUCACAUGAUGCAGUUGAUGUUGAGCGGGGCCUUGUGGAGCUGAGGAAGCUCGGCAUUGAGAACCAGCUAUGGCGAGAAUCUCGCAAGGGUCUUGAGCAAGACCCCAAAGCACCAACAGAAUCCGACUUCUGAUUUUCUUUGGUGUCUUUUCAGAGUUCUGUUCCCCUGGCUGGCAUUGUGACUCAUCUAUAUCAAUAUCACCACUAUCCUACCUCAUUAACUGUUACUGGAAGAUUUUGCACGCAGAGUUACCUGAAGAAUUGUUGUUCCCCUGGCUGGCAUUGUGACUCAUCUAUAUCAAUAUCACCACUAUCCUACCUCAUUAACUGUUACUGGAAGAUUUUGCACGCAGAGUUACCUGAAGAAUUGUUGUUCAUAUACAUUUUUCAACUAAAGCUUAGAUAAUGAAUAAUGUUACUGAUUUUUAUUUUUAA
Molecule: RNA transcript, 3102 nt
Organism: Tripterygium wilfordii
Lineage: Eukaryota; Viridiplantae; Streptophyta; Magnoliopsida; Celastrales; Celastraceae
Gene name: coiled-coil domain-containing protein SCD2
Exons: 23
Source: RefSeq, a predicted model, not a curated record